Molecule: ribosomal RNA, 490 nt
Filed under: uncultured bacterium
Lineage: Bacteria
Description: partial 16S ribosomal RNA
Rfam family: Bacterial small subunit ribosomal RNA
Source: RNAcentral
AUUGAACGCUGGCGGCAGGCCUAACACAUGCAAGUCGAACGGUAACAGGAAGAAGCUUGCUUCUUUGCUGACGAGUGGCGGACGGGUGAGUAAUGUCUGGGAAACUGCCUGAUGGAGGGGGAUAACUACUGGAAACGGUAGCUAAUACCUCAUAACGUCGAAAGACCAAAGAGGGGGACCUUCGGGCCCCUUGCCAUCAUAUCUGCCCAGAUGGGAUUAGCUAGUAGGUGGGGUAACGGCUCACCUAGGCGACGACCCCUAGCUGGUCUGAGAGGAUGACCAGCAACACUGGAACUGAGACACGGUCCAGACUCCUACGGGAGGCAGCAGUGGGGAAUAUUGCACAAUGGGCGCAAGCCUGAUGCAGCCAUGCCGCGUGUAUGAAGAAGGCCUUCGGGUUGUAAAGUACUUUCAGCGGGGAGGAAGGGAGUAAAGUUAAUACCUUUGCUCAUUGACGUUACCCGCAGAAGAAGCACCGGCUAACUCCGUG